AGUCAGCCGACUGGCUAGCUGUAUCAUUCUCAGGUUAGCCAACAACAAGCGAAAAAGUAAAGCCAGAGCAGCGACAGAUAUUAGCGUUAUACGUUAACUUUUACCUUAGAAUAAAAAAACACCUUUUCCGGAGUAACAGGGUAGCAGGACAGCGGGAUUUGAUCUUCCAAGGGUACAUCGAUUUUGUCUAAUUUGGCCACAUCAACGUAUCUAUACCAUGGAGCUUCCUCAUCUGGGCGAGCACUGUACAGAAAAUACCUGCAAGCGCUUAGAUUUUCUUCCGAUGAAAUGUGACGCCUGUGAGGACAUUUUCUGUAAAGACCACAUAACUUAUGCAAACCACAAAUGCACGUCGGCUUACAUGAAGGAUAUCCAGGUCCCUGUGUGUCCCUUGUGCAACAUUCCCAUUCCCAUCAAACGAGGAGAAAUGCCCGACAUCAGAGUCGGAGAACACAUCGAUCGGGACUGCAAGUCGGAUCCUGCUCAGCGAAAAAGAAAGAUCUUCACAAAUAAGUGUUCACGCGGGGGCUGUAAGCAGAAGGAGAUGAUCCGUGUGACGUGCGACCAGUGCCACCUCAACUACUGUCUUAAACACCGGCACCCGCUAGACCAUGACUGUAAAACAGACGGCAAGCCGUCCUCCAAAUCUGGGAAUGCUGCUUUAUCGAGGGCCCAAGGGGUCCCCUCCCACUCUGCCUCCGGCUCCAGCUCCUCCAGUCAGGGUCUCUCCAGGCCUGCCUCGUACAGUGCCAGCACAGCCUCCGCCCGGAGCCACAACAGUGGCAGUGCAUCCCGACGAAUUCCCACGUCAGUGUCCGCCCCUUCAGCACAGAAUGUAAUUCCAGCCUCGGCUUCCUUCCAGGCGGGCCUGACGGAGGAACAGGCCUUACAGAGGGCACUGGAGAUGUCCCUGGCCGAGUCGAGACCAGCACCUAGCCUCAGGUGCGUCGGAAUCUGUGCUCCUUGGGUUUUAUUUUACUGAAACAUUGGGUAUCCUAGAAAAUGAGGGAGGAUGAUGAUGAUGACGAAGGUGGUUAUUGUGCAGCCCCCAGGAGCAGGAGGAUCAGGCCCUGGCUCAGGCUCUGGCCGCCAGCCAAGAAGAAUUCCGGCGCCAGCAGCAGAGACAGCAGGUGAGAGAAACCAAAAACUCGACCUGCAGUCUAUCAUAAAGCUGGAUUCCUGCUAUCACCCUUGUCCUACACAUGACAAAAUGGGACACAGAGAUUCAGCAGAAGAGCGUUAUUGCUAUUCUUAACUGAUGACAGAAAUUCUUGAAAAUUGCCGAUAUUACCGCCUUCCAAUGUAAGCACAUACUGCACCAUCAGGAUAUGUCAUUUUUACCAAUGAGUUGCUCUGUACAUAUUUUAUAUGCUAAUCAUGUAACAAAAUAUCCACAUAAAUGAAGAAUAAAUUAUUUUAAAGAGA
RNA transcript from Gadus macrocephalus (Pacific cod), 1425 nucleotides. It is a transcript of the gene named zinc finger, AN1-type domain 2A, with no coding region annotated. Lineage: Eukaryota; Metazoa; Chordata; Actinopteri; Gadiformes; Gadidae. The transcript has 10 exons. The record is from RefSeq and is a predicted model, not a curated record.